AACGCGAAGAACCUUACCUGGGCUUGACAUGUGAGUGACCGCCUUGGAAACAAGGUCUCCCUUCGGGGCACUUUCACAGGUGGUGCAUGGCUGUCGUCAGCUCGUGUCGUGAGAUGUUGGGUUAAGUCCCGCAACGAGCGCAACCCCCGUCGCAUGUUGCCAGCAUUUAGUUGGGGACUCAUGCGAGACUGCCGGUGACAAACCGGAGGAAGGCGGGGAUGAGGUCAAGUCAUCAUGCCCCUUAUGUCCAGGGCUACACACGUGCUACAUUGGCGCGUACAGAGGGUUGCGAUACCGCGAGGUGGAGCGAAUCCCUCAAAGCGCGUCUCGGUUCGGAUUGCAGGCUGAAACUCGCCUGCAUGAAGGCGGAGUUGCUAGUAAUCGCGGAUCAGCAUCGCCGCGGUGAAUACGUUCCCGGGCCUUGUACACACCGCUAGUC
This 439-nucleotide ribosomal RNA is filed under the name uncultured bacterium. RNAcentral describes it as "bacterial SSU rRNA". It matches the Rfam family "Bacterial small subunit ribosomal RNA", at positions 958 to 1398 of the family's 1533-position model. The record is from RNAcentral.